This 1372-nucleotide ribosomal RNA is filed under the name uncultured bacterium. RNAcentral describes it as "bacterial SSU rRNA". It matches the Rfam family "Bacterial small subunit ribosomal RNA", at positions 28 to 1381 of the family's 1533-position model. The record is from RNAcentral.
GAUGAACGCUGGCGGCGUGCCUAAUACAUGCAAGUCGAGCGAACGGACGAGAAGCUUGCUUCUCUGAUGUUAGCGGCGGACGGGUGAGUAACACGUGGAUAACCUACCUAUAAGACUGGGAUAACUUCGGGAAACCGUAGCUAAUACCGGAUAAUAUUUUGAACCGCAUGGUUCAAAAGUGAAAGACGGUCUUGCUGUCACUUAUAGAUGGAUCCGCGCUGCAUUAGCUAGUUGGUAAGGUAACGGCUUACCAAGGCAACGAUGCAUAGCCGACCUGAGAGGGUGAUCGGCCACACUGGAACUGAGACACGGUCCAGACUCCUACGGGAGGCAGCAGUAGGGAAUCUUCCGCAAUGGGCGAAAGCCUGACGGAGCAACGCCGCGUGAGUGAUGAAGGUCUUCGGAUCGUAAAACUCUGUUAUUAGGGAAGAACAUAUGUGUAAGUAACUGUGCACAUCUUGACGGUACCUAAUCAGAAAGCCACGGCUAACUACGUGCCAGCAGCCGCGGUAAUACGUAGGUGGCAAGCGUUAUCCGGAAUUAUUGGGCGUAAAGCGCGCGUAGGCGGUUUUUUAAGUCUGAUGUGAAAGCCCACGGCUCAACCGUGGAGGGUCAUUGGAAACUGGAAAACUUGAGUGCAGAAGAGGAAAGUGGAAUUCCAUGUGUAGCGGUGAAAUGCGCAGAGAUAUGGAGGAACACCAGUGGCGAAGGCGACUUUCUGGUCUGUAACUGACGCUGAUGUGCGAAAGCGUGGGGAUCAAACAGGAUUAGAUACCCUGGUAGUCCACGCCGUAAACGAUGAGUGCUAAGUGUUAGGGGGUUUCCGCCCCUUAGUGCUGCAGCUAACGCAUUAAGCACUCCGCCUGGGGAGUACGACCGCAAGGUUGAAACUCAAAGGAAUUGACGGGGACCCGCACAAGCGGUGGAGCAUGUGGUUUAAUUCGAAGCAACGCGAAGAACCUUACCAAAUCUUGACAUCCUUUGACAACUCUAGAGAUAGAGCCUUCCCCUUCGGGGGACAAAGUGACAGGUGGUGCAUGGUUGUCGUCAGCUCGUGUCGUGAGAUGUUGGGUUAAGUCCCGCAACGAGCGCAACCCUUAAGCUUAGUUGCCAUCAUUAAGUUGGGCACUCUAAGUUGACUGCCGGUGACAAACCGGAGGAGGGUGGGGAUGACGUCAAAUCAUCAUGCCCCUUAUGAUUUGGGCUACACACGUGCUACAAUGGACAAUACAAAGGGCAGCGAAACCGCGAGGUCAAGCAAAUCCCAUAAAGUUGUUCUCAGUUCGGAUUGUAGUCUGCAACUCGACUACAUGAAGCUGGAAUCGCUAGUAAUCGUAGAUCAGCAUGCUACGGUGAAUACGUUCCCGGGUCU